RNAcentral lists this ribosomal RNA (253 nucleotides) under uncultured bacterium. Its description in RNAcentral is "partial 16S ribosomal RNA". It matches the Rfam family "Bacterial small subunit ribosomal RNA", at positions 524 to 776 of the family's 1533-position model. The record is from RNAcentral.
UACGUAGGGGGCAAGCGUUGUCCGGAAUCAUUGGGCGUAAAGAGCGUGUAGGCGGCCCGAUAAGUCCGCCGUGAAAGCCCAGGGCUCAACCCUGGGAUGCCGGUGGAUACUGUCGGGCUAGAAUCCGGAAGAGGCGAGUGGAAUUCCUGGUGUAGCGGUGAAAUGCGCAGAUAUCAGGAGGAACACCGAUGGCGAAGGCAGCUCGCUGGGACGUUAUUGACGCUGAGACGCGAAAGCGUGGGGAGUAAACAGG